This 443-nucleotide ribosomal RNA is filed under the name uncultured bacterium. RNAcentral describes it as "partial 16S ribosomal RNA". It matches the Rfam family "Bacterial small subunit ribosomal RNA", at positions 338 to 795 of the family's 1533-position model. The record is from RNAcentral.
CCUACGGGAGGCAGCAGUGGGGAAUAUUGGGCAAUGGGCGCAAGCCUGACCCAGCAACGCCGCGUGAAGGAAGAAGGCUUUCGGGUUGUAAACUUCUUUUCUCAGGGACGAAGCAAGUGACGGUACCUGAGGAAUAAGCCCCGGCUAACUACGUGCCAGCAGCCGCGGUAAUACGUAGGUAGCGAGCGUUAUCCGGAUUUACUGGGUGUAAAGGGCGUGUAGGCGGGAUGGCAAGUCAGGCGUGAAAACUAUGGGCUCAACCCAUAGCCUGCGUUUGAAACUGUCGUUCUUGAGUGAUGGAGAGGCAAGCGGAAUUCCGUGUGUAGCGGUGAAAUGCGUAGAUAUACGGAGGAACACCAGUGGCGAAGGCGGCUUGCUGGACAUUAACUGACGCUGAGGCGCGAAAGCGUGGGGAGCAAACAGGAUUAGAUACCCCAGUAGUC